Molecule: ribosomal RNA, 1357 nt
Filed under: uncultured bacterium
Lineage: Bacteria
Description: bacterial SSU rRNA
Rfam family: Bacterial small subunit ribosomal RNA
Source: RNAcentral
AUUGAACGCUGGCGGUAGGCUUAACACAUGCAAGUCGUGCGAGAAAGUAUCUUCGGAUAUGAGUAGAGCGGCGGACGGGUGAGUAACGCGUAGGAAUCUACCUAGUAGAAGGGGAUAGCCCGGGGAAACCCGGAUUAAUACCGUAUACCUCCUUCGGGAGAAAGAAGGCCUCUCUUUGAAGCUUUCGCUAUUAGAUGAGCCUGCGUAAGAUUAGCUUGUUGGUGAGGUAAAGGCUCACCAAGGCGACGAUCUUUAGCUGGUCUGAGAGGACGAUCAGCCACAUUGGGACUGAGACACGGCCCAGACUCCUACGGGAGGCAGCAGUGGGGAAUAUUGGACAAUGGGCGCAAGCCUGAUCCAGCCAUACCGCGUGUGUGAAGAAGGCCUUCGGGUUGUAAAGCACUUUAAGCAGGGAGAAAAAGUUAUAAGUUAAUACCUUAUAACCCUGAUGUUACCUGCAGAAUAAGCACCGGCUAAUUCCGUGCCAGCAGCCGCGGUAAUACGGAAGGUGCAAGCGUUAAUCGGAAUUACUGGGCGUAAAGCGCGCGUAGGUGGUUUGUUAAGUUGGAUGUGAAAGCCCUGGGCUCAACCUAGGAACUGCAUCCAAAACUAACUCACUAGAGUACGAUAGAGGGAGGUAGAAUUCAUAGUGUAGCGGUGGAAUGCGUAGAUAUUAUGAAGAAUACCAGUGGCGAAGGCGGCCUCCUGGAUCUGUACUGACACUGAGGUGCGAAAGCGUGGGUAGCGAACAGGAUUAGAUACCCUGGUAGUCCACGCCGUAAACGAUGACAACUAGCUGUUGGGAGACUAUGUCUUUCAGUGGCGCAGCUAACGCUUUAAGUUGUCCGCCUGGGGAGUACGGCCGCAAGGCUAAAACUCAAAUGAAUUGACGGGGACCCGCACAAGCGGUGGAGCAUGUGGUUUAAUUCGAUGCAACGCGAAAAACCUUACCUACUCUUGACAUACUUGGAGGCUCUUGUAAUGAGAGUGUGCCUUUUGGAACCAAGAUACAGGUGCUGCAUGGCUGUCGUCAGCUCGUGUCGUGAGAUGUUCCGUUAAGUCGGAUAACGAGCGCAACCCUUACCCUUAUUUGCCAGCGAUUCGGUCGGGAACUAUAAGGGGACUGCCGGUGAUAAACCGGAGGAAGGUGAGGACGACGUCAAGUCAUCAUGGCCUCUUACGAGUAGGGCUACACACGUGCUACAAUGGGAGAUACAGACGGACGCUAAGCCGCGAGGUGGUGCUAAUCCUAAAAAGUCUUUCGUAGUCCGGAUUGGAGUCUGCAACUCGACUCCAUGAAGUCGGAAUCGCUAGUAAUCGCGGAUCAGCAUGCCGCGGUGAAUACGUUCUCGGGUCU